CAGGGAGUAGUUUAAGAUUAGAAUUUCAGCUUUGGGUGUUGAAGGUAGAAUGGAGGAUUUCUUUCCCUGA
This 70-nucleotide transfer RNA is filed under the name Alouatta seniculus (howler monkey). Its description in RNAcentral is "tRNA-Pro". RNAcentral also lists the same sequence under 2 other names. Lineage: Eukaryota; Metazoa; Chordata; Mammalia; Primates; Atelidae. The record is from RNAcentral.